UCCCUGGUGGGUGGCUAAGACUCUCUGCUCCUAAAGCAGAGGUCCUAGGUUCAAUUCCUGGUCAGGGAA
RNAcentral lists this transfer RNA (69 nucleotides) under Bos taurus (domestic cattle). It matches the Rfam family "tRNA". From Rfam's summary of the family: Transfer RNA (tRNA) molecules are approximately 80 nucleotides in length. Their secondary structure includes four short double-helical elements and three loops (D, anti-codon, and T loops). Lineage: Eukaryota; Metazoa; Chordata; Mammalia; Artiodactyla; Bovidae. The record is from Rfam by way of RNAcentral. RNAcentral also lists the same sequence under 2 other names.